RNAcentral lists this ribosomal RNA (643 nucleotides) under uncultured Pseudomonadota bacterium. RNAcentral describes it as "bacterial SSU rRNA". It matches the Rfam family "Bacterial small subunit ribosomal RNA", at positions 70 to 706 of the family's 1533-position model. The record is from RNAcentral. Lineage: Bacteria; Pseudomonadati; Pseudomonadota.
AGGAAGCAGCUUGCUGCUUUGCUGACGAGUGGCGGACGGGUGAGUAAUGUCUGGGAAACUGCCUGAUGGAGGGGGAUAACUACUGGAAACGGUAGCUAAUACCGCAUAACGUCGCAAGACCAAAGAGGGGGACCUUCGGGCCUCUUGCCAUCGGAUGUGCCCAGAUGGGAUUAGCUAGUAGGUGGGGUAAAGGCUCACCUAGGCGACGAUCCCUAGCUGGUCUGAGAGGAUAACCAGCCACACUGGAACUGAGACACGGUCCAGACUCCUACGGGAGGCAGCAGUGGGGAAUAUUGCACAAUGGGCGCAAGCCUGAUGCAGCCAUGCCGCGUGUAUGAAGAAGGCCUUCGGGUUGUAAAGUACUUUCAGCGGGGAGGAAGGGAGUAAAGUUAAUACCUUUGCUCAUUGACGUUACCCGCAGAAGAAGCACCGGCUAACUCCGUGCCAGCAGCCGCGGUAAUACGGAGGGUGCAAGCGUUAAUCGGAAUUACUGGGCGUAAAGCGCACGCAGGCGGUUUGUUAAGUCAGAUGUGAAAUCCCCGGGCUCAACCUGGGAACUGCAUCUGAUACUGGCAAGCUUGAGUCUCGUAGAGGGGGGUAGAAUUCCAGGUGUAGCGGUGAAAUGCGUAGAGAUCUGGAGGAA